GAAAAAGUCUGAAGUCAAAGAAAUCUGCUCCAGCUACAGAAAUGCGAGCCCGGCUGUGAUCGACACUGUUGCGGUACCCGGAUGGCUGCGGGCGGAGCUGUGCGCGAGCGUCGGUACGGAAGCCGCGCGCCUCGCCAAGUUCAACCGGCGCGGCACGAUCACGCAGCGCGAGGUGUGCGCUGCUGUGCGCGCGAUGAGGAAGGUCACGCGGAGGACAACAGCGCACGCGGAGUGACCGUUAAUGGAACUUUUUAAAAAA
Molecule: long non-coding RNA, 259 nt
Organism: Ictalurus punctatus (channel catfish)
Lineage: Eukaryota; Metazoa; Chordata; Actinopteri; Siluriformes; Ictaluridae
Source: Ensembl